CGAAAAAAAAGAAGUAAUAAUUCAGGGAAAAAAUUCAGGGGGGAAAACAAUUGCAAGAUGUAAAGUCAAAAUUGUAAGAUGUACAAUUGCAAGAUAAAAUGUCAGAAUUAACGUCAGUUCAGAUCUCGCAGCAGCUUAUUUAUUCCAAUAAGGAGGGACCUAAGGAGAUAUUGUUCUAUUUUUAGUAAGAUAACUUGUUCUGAAAAGUUGUUAAAUGUGUUUACACUUACACUAGUUGAUUAAUUAAUAUUCAUAAGCCAAGCCAUCGCUAAUCCUAAUGCAUACUUAGCGCUGUUUGGCUUUCAGCCAAUCAACUUGGGCGAACGUGACGUCACGUAAAUGAAUAUUAAUGAGCCAAGUCUUGCUGCCACAAACAUCAGCUGUUGUGACUCUCUGGGUGGAUCCCCGUGAUGAUAAAUACUGCUGUCAUCUCGAUCAGAUCACAUUCACUGCUUCAUCAUGGGCUCAGGUAGACAGAUACAGAGCUUAUGAAUCAGAAAACACACACUGGUUGAUUUCUAAGAGAAACUAACAGUUUUAUUCCUGUUUCUGACCAGCUGCUGAGGGUGAUGAGGUGGAGGGGAGGGAAAAAGGAUAAAGACAAAGACCAAGAAGAUAAAGAUAAAGAGUGCAAGGAUAAGGGCAAGGACAAAGAGAGUGACAAGGCAAAGAGUGAUUGCAAAGAAAAGGAUAAAGACCACUCUUCAUCCAGUGAUGAGGACUAAAGCUGAAGACUGAAGACAUAAGGGUGACUGGGGCAAGUUGUCACAUGGGGAAAUGCCCUAAGGGCUUUAUCUCAGUAACUGUGAGGUUUUAAGUAAA
Molecule: long non-coding RNA, 822 nt
Organism: Cyprinus carpio (common carp)
Lineage: Eukaryota; Metazoa; Chordata; Actinopteri; Cypriniformes; Cyprinidae
Exons: 3
Source: RefSeq, a predicted model, not a curated record